Triticum urartu is the source of this 2040-nucleotide long non-coding RNA. RefSeq lists it as uncharacterized. The record is from RefSeq and is a predicted model, not a curated record. Lineage: Eukaryota; Viridiplantae; Streptophyta; Magnoliopsida; Poales; Poaceae.
CCCACCUUCCAAUUUAUCCAACCUCCAGAUUCCAAUCUACACCGGCAUCACCACCCCGCGCACCGCCCAUUCCGGCACCCCGCGUGGUGGCAGCCUCACCCUCAAUCUCCGCCCUCCGCCGCUUGCUCCGCCCGCCGAUGACUCCCGUUUUCCUCCACCAGCAAGUUCGCUCGUUGGAGCCCAGUCAGCGUCGUCAUCCUCACCGUCACGAAGCCGUGCUCGCCCAAACGUCGUCCUCACCGUCACGAAGCCGUGCUUGCCCCAACGCCGUCCUCACCGUCAUGAAGCCGUAUCCAUACCGGUCUCAAACUUCACCUAAAGCACCGCCGCAUGUCUCGUCAGUACACCACCCUGCAAGCAACUAUCGCCUCCAUCAAGCAUCUUCAGUCUCCACCACGUCAACCAGGUGAUCCCUUGAUUCGCAUAGCCCCUAUAGUUUAUCAUUAAAUCAACCAAAGUGGCCUCCUUCAUUUAUAUGCAUCUGAAGUCUCGAUCCUCUUCUCCCAUCGUCUCCUUACUUCCUUCCUGUAGGCAAUGCACUCUAAGUGUUUGGUGAAUUGUUUGCUUGCCCAGAAUUCAAUUCUGACAAAUAUUCUUGAAAAUAUGUGAGCAACUGUUUGGUCUAAUCAAAUUUUACAUGUCAAAACUCAACAGCAGUACAAAUGGUGUUAGAUAGACUAGCCAAAUAAUCUCAGAUUCCAUUUAUGCUGGAGCAUAAAGCAUGAUAAUGUUUGGUUAUACAGGCUGCAACGAGCUAUGCUAUUUUGUAGUAAUUUUAAACGAAGAAAGACUAUAUACGCCUCUGCUUCAUCUGCUAAAUGCGCCCCUCUGAAGUUUUCCAUGAACGUUCUGUCCUGCAAAACGUGUCGAUUCGCUGUUCUGUAAUCUGUUUAAUUCAGUACUGCCGUUUGUAUGCACCUGCGUCCACAUCGUAUUCGUGUAUUACCUACAGCUCAUCUGACUCGUAUAUCAGUAUUUGGUACUUUAGCUACAAAUCCCAAUGAGCACCCGGAACCAAACGUCCGCCUCCGGCUUGUAUAGGCCAUUUUUGUCGGAAGAUCACCUUAUUCAUGGCUGGAAUCCAAUCUGUACCAUUUGCUAGAAGUAGACUCUCUUUAAAAAUAGGUACCAAUAUGUUUCUAUCUAAUCUGUACCGUUUUCUAGAAGUAGAUUCUCUGUAUCAUAAAUUUUUACCAUUAUUUUUCUAUGCCUCGACGGCUUUGAAGCCUAAACAUCCCAGAGUAGGCUGCUGCAAGUGAAAACCAGAUGAAGAAAAUUUACAAGGCCCUCCAGAGAUUGAUGAUAUAUUAGCAAAAAGCCUCCGGAAUCUACUAGCCAAAUUAAAAUAAUUUGGCCAAAUGGAGAUGUGCGGCGGAUUAUAGGGGAAUUCUGAGGUUGGCUACCAUUCUCUGUCAGCAUCUUACUUGGCUUGCUGAGAACUCAACAUUUGCACCAUUGCAUAUUCCGAGAUGUGACAAUGAAUUGUUUCUGCAGAAAGCAUGGGCAGAUGAUCACAGAUGUGGAGGUUGAUCUCAACGAAAGAGUUGCUGGCAAUGACCUCCCAAAUGAAUCACAUAACAUAGUUGAAGAAUAACCUGGCAAUAUGCAUGCUCCAUUGAGUGCUCUAUAGGAACUACAUCCUAGCAAUUGUGUGAGAGCCAAAGAGUGUUAUACCGGUUUAUCAUUGCCAACUGGUUGCUAAGAAAGCACACAUUGAGAAGUAUAUCGUACCAAACACUGGGUAGCUCAUGAUUUAAAAAAGGAGUGCAUUGCAGGAGCCAGGAGCAACAACAGAAGAAUUAGUUUUUAAAUGGACAAAUAUUAUGUGUUAUGUAAAGGAUUUAGCUUCAUCACAAAACUUAGUUCUAGUGUUGUAUGAUAUUUUCUUUAUUGUUUGCAUCUUUCAUAUUAAUGUCUGAUUUAAUUCAUUUUAGAACUCAAGAUGUUUAUUCUUACUAAUUGAUAUUGUGCGAAUGCUUGUGAAUACAACUGGUGCUAUGGGUGGAUCCCUUUACAUAAUAUUUGUUGCCUAUUAAUGUG